Ostrea edulis (European flat oyster) is the source of this 2725-nucleotide long non-coding RNA. RefSeq lists it as uncharacterized. The transcript is spliced from 5 exons. NCBI's taxonomy places the organism in Eukaryota, Metazoa, Mollusca, Bivalvia, Ostreida, Ostreidae. The record is from RefSeq and is a predicted model, not a curated record.
GCAUAAUGCGACAUCAUAUUUGAAGAGAAUUAGAAGACAAGAUGCCGUUGGAAUGCUAACAAUUGCAAAGUUUUUUAAAAAUGCAAAACAAAAGAAAGAUAUAUGUGAAAGUGCAGAACCUAAAUAGUUAGUCAGCGAAGUUAGAGGUGAGUCGGACACGGAAGAGGACAACGUUUGUAGUGAUGAGGAAGAGCAAUCGGAGAACGAAUGUUAUGAAUUUAGUAGCCCUGCUAGUGUUAAGUUGGAUCAAAGACUUUUUCAUCUGAAAAAUACGAGAAUCGAUGCAAGUGGUUGUAUUACAACUACCCGAACAGGGGAUACAUUUGUUAAGUCUGUGAGAUGUUUGGGAGGAAGGUUGGAAAAUUUACUACUGGCUGUUCUUUGGGUGACCAUCCAACAAGAGCGUUAGAGAGUCAUGCAGCAAGUGUUGCCCAUAAGGACGCAGAACAAGUUAAGAGUAGCAGAAAAAGAGGAAGUGCUAUUUCACUAAUCCUUGAAGAAAAAAUAGAGAGGAAAACAUUAAAUCGGAAUGUUAUUUUAAAAACUGUUUCAGUGUGCAAAUUUCAUGAUCCAUAAACGAUGGGCACUUUCUGAAAACUUCUCAGAUUUUGUGAAAUUUAUUGCCUCUUUAGGUGUUGAUGGUGUUCUAUGUCACAUAGAAACAACUCCCUAAACUGCAACUUACUUAUCUUCAUCUACUGUGACUGAACUCAUCGAAAUCUUGAGUGAACAUAUUGAAAAAAAAAUUCCUGACAUCUCUUAGAAAUGCUGACGCCUUCACUUUGCUUGCCGAUGAAAGUUGUGAUGAGGCUGGACGUGAACAGUUUGCCUUGUAUGGAAAGUGGGAAAAUGAAAUGGGCGAGAUCAAAGAACGAUUUUUAGGGGUCAUUCAUGUUCCAAACACGGACACUGAGUCAUUGCUCAACCAAAUAAACAUUUCAUGCUGGCAAAACACAUUCAAUUUAAAACAAUGCGAUUUAUGGCAUUUGAUGGAGCAAAUGUUAUGAGUGGAGAGAAGACAGGUGCCACAAGCUAGCUCUGUGCCUUAAACAUAUCAUGAAGAUCCCCUAGUUUGCUCUCCUUCAAGAGGUGGAUUCAGUUCUUCUUGGAUUGUGGAAAGUCUUUGAGUACAGUCCAAAGAAGUUCUGUGUUUUUAAGGACGUGUAAACUACAUAUGGCAACAGGUCACUGAAACUUAUUAGUGCUGCAACCACAAGGUUGUUAUCUCAUGGAGAUGCAUGCAGCAGAUUUGUGUCCAGGUUUUCGCAGAUACUUGAUGCCCUUGACAGUAUUUAUGAUGAUCGCAAAGAACCAGAGGUGUUUGGACUUAGAUGUGCAAAGUUGAGAAAGGAUGUAGUUGCCAUGAUAUAUUUGUUGUGUGAUGUACUUCAGAUUGUGAAUGCACUGAGUACUUUCCUUCAAAAUGAAAACCUGAACUUCACUGAUGUGCCUCACAAAGUUGAUAUUGCUGUCAACAAAUUGGAUAUAUUGAUAGAUCAGUUUGGUGAGAUAUGCAACAACAAGCAUCUCACUUUUUCAACAAUUGAUGAUGCUUUUGUACAAAUCAUUGACAGGACAAGUUUGCAAAGAAGAAUACGGGGUAAUCAAUUGAAUAAUGAUUACAGCUCAGAGAGUUUUUUUUAGGGAGACUGGCAUACCCUUCAUUUACAGACUAAUCGGUGAGAUUGACGAUGCUUUUAAUGUUUCACCUGUGGUGAAGGGUUGUGCGGUCCUGGAUCCUAGAAAUUUGCCAGAUCAGAUUGCAGAGUUGACAGAUCAUGGAGAGAUUGAUAUAAGGAAAUUGCCUGAAUUUUAUGGUUCCCCCAAGGAAGACGAGUUUCAGGGCCACAUAUGUAGAGUUCCGUGUGAUCUACAGUCCCCAGAAGCAGCAAUAGGUGAAUUUCGAGCCUUCCAAACUCAUACAUGUAUGUUUGUUGAAAGUUAGAGUUUCUUCUACAUCACAACACAGCAAAGAGGAAUCUGACCAGUGUCACAUGAUCAGGAGAGCAUAAUGCACAUUUAAUUCAUUUUAUAACUAGUUUAAACAUUAUUUUGGAAAGUAAUUCAAAUGAAAUGUAACUUUUUUUUGAUCAAUUGUUAUCAUAUUUCUGUUUAAAACGUUUGUUACCCUUUUCUUAUUCCAUAAAAUAAUAGCUAAUAUUACCACUUGCUUUUCUUGAUUCCUCCAAUUCUAUUAUGAAAGAAGAAUAUUGAGAUAAUAAAAAUUAUGUUUUACUAUAGCUGUAAUUUAAAAGUGUUUAUAAUGUUAAUGAUUUGUAAGAUCAUAUCUUGCAUUGAUAUUCAUUUUUAAGCCCUACAAACUUGCUGUAGAAUAUCAACAUGUUGAGUAUUCACAAUUGUUUCUGUAUUUUAUAUUUCUUGUUUCAGUCAACGUAUGAGACUGGGGAAAAGAAUGGACACAACAACACUUUACUCAUUGUGCAAGACCGAUGGUUUAGGUCAACUGUAUCCAAAUGUAGUGAAACUUAUUAAUUUUGCACUACUUAUACCAUGCUCAACCGCCUCUGUGGAGAGAGGAUUUAGCCUAAUGAACUCACUUUGCACAAUUCUAAGAAACAGACUAUCCCAGAAUUCUCUCGACUCACUGAUGAUAAUAUGUAAAGGAGAGAAAAAAUUGUCAGGUGAAGAUUUAAAUCAACUUAUUCAAAUGUUUAAAAACCAGACAAACAGAACAAUUGACUUGUAAAAGAAAAUAAAACAGUAC